UAAAGCUGCUAUGCCUUAGUCUUGGGGUCCAAGUCCCUGCUCCGCUGUGUCAGGUAUACUUAGACCCACGCUCCAGCUUGUGAAUAAACCCUCUUGUGUUUGCAUCGGUGUCGGCUUCUCGGUGGUUUCUAGGAUUCACAAUCUUGGCCACAACAUUUGGGGGCUCGUCCGGGAUCUGAGAGACCUCCAGGACCUUAUCCGGAGGAUUUCACGCGUGGUCAGCAUUGACUUAGGCGGAUGCGCUGGUGGGCCAUCAACCGGGGGUCUUGAGGAGACGUCCCUUGCCCCUGCCUGGAGGAUGGAGGUCCUAUCUGUAAGGAGGAUGGAGGUCCUCAUCUGUAUGGAGGAUGAGCGUCCUCAUAUGUUAAGGCCGUGAACUUCAGGGACAAACCAGAUGGCCACCCUGACCAGAUGCCCAACAUCCUGGCCUGUCAGGACAUGAUCGAGAAUUCCCCUCCUUGGCUAAAACCCGUUUUUACUCCCCAAAGCACACAACUCGCCUGAAGGUAAGGAGAGACUCCGGGUCCACCGCCAGACUCUAAUGGCAGGUCUCCAGGCUGCCGCGUGCAAGACUACCAAUCUGGCCAAGGUCUAUGAUGUGAGACAGGGUAAGGAUGAGAGUCCA
Canis lupus familiaris (dog) is the source of this 625-nucleotide long non-coding RNA. RefSeq lists it as uncharacterized. The transcript is spliced from 3 exons. The record is from RefSeq and is a predicted model, not a curated record. NCBI's taxonomy places the organism in Eukaryota, Metazoa, Chordata, Mammalia, Carnivora, Canidae.